This 390-nucleotide long non-coding RNA is filed under the name Ananas comosus (pineapple). RNAcentral's name for it is "long non-coding RNA (ACOM_LNC040294)". The record is from RNAcentral. Lineage: Eukaryota; Viridiplantae; Streptophyta; Magnoliopsida; Poales; Bromeliaceae.
UUCAAAUACCUUAAUUUCUUGUGGUUUUGCGUUUUGUCUUUUUUAGUAUCAUGUAGUUUAAAAUGCGUCACUUAAGUACUAUGUGAUUUUAUUUUUUUCUUUCUUUUAUCCCUUCCGUUAAUUUUUUCUUUAAAUCAGUGACAAAGUUAAAAUCACAAAAUAUUAAAAUAAAAAAUUGGCAAAUCACAUGAUACUAAAGUAAAUAUUCGAUAAAUCAUAGAUGGAGUAUCUGAUGUUUUUUGUAUAUGAUUUAACGAAGUACUGACGGAAAGCGAAAAAUAAAAAUCAUAAGAUACUAAAGUGAUACACUUUAAACCAAAUAAUAUUAAAGUGAGAAAGUACGAAAUCACAGAGGUGGUAUUUAAAGUUUACCCCUCUUAAAUUAAUCUC